Molecule: unclassified non-coding RNA, 313 nt
Filed under: plant metagenome
Description: partial contains 5.8S ribosomal RNA, internal transcribed spacer 2, and large subunit ribosomal RNA
Rfam family: 5.8S ribosomal RNA (bases 1-104)
Source: RNAcentral
AAAUGCGAUAAUUAAUGUGAAUUGCAGAAUUCAGUGAAUCAUCGAGUCUUUGAACGCACAUUGCGCCCCCUGGUAUUCCGGGGGGCAUGCCUGUCCGAGCGUCAUUGCUACCCUCAAGCACGGCUUGUGUGUUGGGCUUCCGUCCCUGGCAACGGGGACGGGCCCAAAAGGCAGUGGCGGCACCAUGUCUGGUCCUCGAGCGUAUGGGGCUUUGUCACCCGCUCCCGUAGGUCCAGCUGGCAGCUAGCCUCGCAACCAAUCUUUUUAACCAGGUUGACCUCGGAUCAGGUAGGGAUACCCGCUGAACUUAAGC